GGGGAUGUAGCUCAGUGGCAGAGCAUGUGUUUGGCAUACACAAGGACCUGGACUAAAGCCCAGCACCA
Molecule: transfer RNA, 68 nt
Filed under: Heterocephalus glaber (naked mole-rat)
Lineage: Eukaryota; Metazoa; Chordata; Mammalia; Rodentia; Bathyergidae
Rfam family: tRNA
About the family: Transfer RNA (tRNA) molecules are approximately 80 nucleotides in length. Their secondary structure includes four short double-helical elements and three loops (D, anti-codon, and T loops).
Source: Rfam by way of RNAcentral